GUGACAGCCGCCGCGGUAAUACGUAGGGUGCGAGCGUUAAUCGGAAUUACUGGGCGUAAAGCGUGCGCAGGCGGUUUUGUAAGCCAGAUGUGAAAUCCCCGGGCUUAACCUGGGAAUGGCAUUUGGGACUGCAAGGCUUGAGUGUGGCAGAGGGGACCGGAAUUCCUGGUGUAGCAGUGAAGUGCGUAGAGAUCAGGAGGAAUACCGGUGGCGAAGGCAGGUCCCUGGGCUGACACUGACGCUCAUGCACGAAAGCGUGGGGAGCAAACAGGAUCAGAAACCCCCGUAGUCC
Molecule: ribosomal RNA, 292 nt
Filed under: uncultured bacterium
Lineage: Bacteria
Description: partial 16S ribosomal RNA
Rfam family: Bacterial small subunit ribosomal RNA
Source: RNAcentral